This 500-nucleotide ribosomal RNA is filed under the name uncultured bacterium. RNAcentral describes it as "partial 16S ribosomal RNA". It matches the Rfam family "Bacterial small subunit ribosomal RNA", at positions 30 to 523 of the family's 1533-position model. The record is from RNAcentral.
AUUGAACGCUGGCGGAAUGCUUUACACAUGCAAGUCGAACGGCAGCACGGACUUCGGUCUGGUGGCGAGUGGCGAACGGGUGAGUAAUGUAUCGGAACGUGCCCAGUCGUGGGGGAUAACGUAGUGAAAAUUACGCUAAUACCGCAUACGAUCUAUGGAUGAAAGCGGGGGAUCGCAAGACCUCGCGCGAUUGGAGCGGCCGAUAUCAGAUUAGGUAGUUGGUGGGGUACAGGCCGACCAAGCCAACGAUCUGUAGCUGGUCUGAGAGGACGACCAGCCACACUGGAACUGAGACACGGUCCAGACUCCUACGGGAGGCAGCAGUGGGGAAUUUUGGACAAUGGGCGAAAGCCUGAUCCAGCCAUUCCGCGUGCAGGAUGAAGUCCCUCGGGUUGUAAACUGCUUUUGUACAGAACGAAAAGGUUUCUACUAAUACUAGGAGCUCAUGACGGUACUGUAAGAAUAAGCACCGGCUAACUACGUGCCAGCCGCCGCCGUAA